UACGAAGGGGGCGAGCGUUGUUCGGAUUUACUGGGCGUAAAGAGCGCGCAGGCGGUCGUUCAAGUCGCGUGUGAAAGCCCCCGGCUCAACUGGGGAGGGUCACGCGAUACUGAUCGACUCGAAGGCAGGAGAGGGUAGUGGAAUUCCCGGUGUAGUGGUGAAAUGCGUAGAUAUCGGGAGGAACACCAGUGGCGAAGGCGACUACCUGGCCUGUUUCUUGACGCUGAGGCGCGAAAGCUAGGGGAGCAAACGGG
RNAcentral lists this ribosomal RNA (254 nucleotides) under uncultured bacterium. RNAcentral's name for it is "partial 16S ribosomal RNA". It matches the Rfam family "Bacterial small subunit ribosomal RNA", at positions 524 to 776 of the family's 1533-position model. The record is from RNAcentral.